GAUGAACGCUGGCGGCGUGCCUAAUACAUGCCAGUCGAGCGAACGGACGAGAAGCUUGCUUCUCUGAUGUUAGCGGCGGACGGGUGAGUAACACGUGGAUAACCUACCUAUAAGACUGGGAUAACUUCGGGAAACCGGAGCUAAUACCGGAUGAUAUUUUGAACCGCAUGGUUCAAAAGUGAAAGACGGUCUUGCUGUCACUUAUAGAUGGAUCCGCGCUGCAUUAGCUAGUUGGUAAGGUAACGGCUUACCAAGGCAACGAUGCAUAGCCGACCUGAGAGGGUGGUCGGCCACACGGGAACUGAGACACGGUCCAGACUCCUACGGGAGGCAGCAGUAGGGAAUCUUACGCAAUGGGCGAAAGCCUGACGGAACAACGCCGCGUGAGUGAUGAAGGUCUUCGGAUCGUAAAACUCUGUUAUUAGGGAAGAACAUAUGUGUAAGUAACUGUGCACAUCUUGACGGUACCUAAUCAGAAAGCCACGGCUAACUACGUG
Molecule: ribosomal RNA, 497 nt
Filed under: uncultured bacterium
Lineage: Bacteria
Description: partial 16S ribosomal RNA
Rfam family: Bacterial small subunit ribosomal RNA
Source: RNAcentral